This 462-nucleotide ribosomal RNA is filed under the name uncultured bacterium. RNAcentral describes it as "partial 16S ribosomal RNA". It matches the Rfam family "Bacterial small subunit ribosomal RNA", at positions 28 to 507 of the family's 1533-position model. The record is from RNAcentral.
GACGAACGCUGGCGGCGUGCUUAACACAUGCAAGUCGAACGGAAAGGCCCUUCGGGGUACUCGAGUGGCGAACGGGUGAGUGACACGUGGGUGAUCUGCCCUGCACUUUGUGAUAAGCCUGGGAAACUGGGUCUAAUACCGAAUAGGACCACGCGCUUCAUGGUGUGUGGUGGAAAGCUUUUGCGGUGUGGGAUGGGCCCGCGGCCUAUCAGCUUGUUGGUGGGGUAAUGGCCUACCAAGGCGACGACGGGUAGCCGGCCUGAGAGGGUGACCGGCCACACUGGGACUGAGAUACGGCCCAGACUCCUACGGGAGGCAGCAGUGGGGAAUAUUGCACAAUGGGCGCAAGCCUGAUGCAGCGACGCCGCGUGAGGGAUGACGGCCUUCGGGUUGUAAACCUCUUUCAAUAGGGACGAAGCGCAAGUGACGGUACCUAGAGAAGAAGCACCGGCCAACUACGUG